AGUCGAGCGAUGAAGCUUCCUUCGGGAAGUGGAUUAGCGGCGGACGGGUGAGUAACACGUGGGUAACCUGCCUCAAAGUGGGGGAUAGCCUUCCGAAAGGAAGAUUAAUACCGCAUAACAUAAGAGAAUCGCAUGAUUUUCUUAUCAAAGAUUUAUUGCUUUGAGAUGGACCCGCGGCGCAUUAGCUAGUUGGUAAGGUAACGGCUUACCAAGGCAACGAUGCGUAGCCGACCUGAGAGGGUGAUCGGCCACAUUGGAACUGAGACACGGUCCAGACUCCUACGGGAGGCAGCAGUGGGGAAUAUUGCGCAAUGGGGGAAACCCUGACGCAGCAACGCCGCGUGGGUGAUGAAGGUCUUCGGAUUGUAAAGCCCUGUUUUCUGGGACGAUAAUGACGGUACCAGAGGAGGAAGCCACGGCUAACUACGUGCCAGCAGCCGCGGUAAUACGUAGGUGGCGAGCGUUGUCCGGAUUUACUGGGCGUAAAGGGUGCGUAGGCGGAUGUUUAAGUGGGAUGUGAAAUCCCCGGGCUUAACCUGGGGGCUGCAUUCCAAACUGGAUAUCUAGAGUGCAGGAGAGGAAAGCGGAAUUCCUAGUGUAGCGGUGAAAUGCGUAGAGAUUAGGAAGAACACCAGUGGCGAAGGCGGCUUUCUGGACUGUAACUGACGCUGAGGCACGAAAGCGUGGGUAGCAAACAGGAUUAGAUACCCUGGUAGUCCACGCCGUAAACGAUGGAUACUAGGUGUAGGGGGUAUCAACUCCCCCUGUGCCGCAGUUAACACAAUAAGUAUCCCGCCU
Molecule: ribosomal RNA, 798 nt
Filed under: bacterium enrichment culture
Lineage: Bacteria
Description: bacterial SSU rRNA
Rfam family: Bacterial small subunit ribosomal RNA
Source: RNAcentral